This 549-nucleotide ribosomal RNA is filed under the name Funneliformis mosseae. Its description in RNAcentral is "SSU rRNA". It matches the Rfam family "Eukaryotic small subunit ribosomal RNA", at positions 548 to 1098 of the family's 1831-position model. The record is from RNAcentral. Lineage: Eukaryota; Fungi; Glomeromycota; Glomeromycetes; Glomerales; Glomeraceae.
UUGGAGGGCAAGUCUGGUGCCAGCAGCCGCGGUAAUUCCAGCUCCAAUAGCGUAUAUUAAAGUUGUUGCAGUUAAAAAGCUCGUAGUUGAAUUUCGGGGUCAGUAGGUUGGUCAUGCCACUGGUAUGUACUGGCCUCACUGAUUCCUCCUUCCUGAUGAGCCGUAAUGCCAUUAAUUUGGUGUUGCGAGGAAUCUGGACUGUUACUUUGAAAAAAUUAGAGUGUUUAAAGCAGGCUAACGCUUGAAUACAUUAGCAUGGAAUAAUGAAAUAGGACGUUCGAUCUUAUUUUGUUGGUUUCUAAGAUUGACGUAAUGAUUAAUAGGGAUAGUUGGGGGCAUUAGUAUUCAAUUGUCAGAGGUGAGAUUCUUGGAUUUAUUGAAGACUAACUACUGCGAAAGCAUUUGCCAAGGAUGUUUUCAUUAAUCAAGAACGAAAGUUAGGGGAUCGAAGACGAUCAGAUACCGUCGUAGUCUUAACCAUAAACUAUGCCGACUAGGGAUCGGAUGAUGUUAAUUUUUUAAUGACUCAUUCGGCGCCUUACGGGAAAC